This 537-nucleotide ribosomal RNA is filed under the name Streptomyces chartreusis. RNAcentral describes it as "bacterial SSU rRNA". It matches the Rfam family "Bacterial small subunit ribosomal RNA", at positions 371 to 918 of the family's 1533-position model. The record is from RNAcentral. Lineage: Bacteria; Bacillati; Actinomycetota; Actinomycetes; Kitasatosporales; Streptomycetaceae.
AUGGGCGAAAGCCUGAUGCAGCGACGCCGCGUGAGGGAUGACGGCCUUCGGGUUGUAAACCUCUUUCAGCAGGGAAGAAGCGAAAGUGACGGUACCUGCAGAAGAAGCGCCGGCUAACUACGUGCCAGCAGCCGCGGUAAUACGUAGGGCGCAAACGUUGUCCGGAAUUAUUGGGCGUAAAGAGCUCGUAGGCGGCUUGUCACGUCGGGUGUGAAAGCCCGGGGCUUAACCCCGGGUCUGCAUUCGAUACGGGCUAGCUAGAGUGUGGUAUGGGAGAUCGGAAUUCCUGGUGUAGCGGUGAAAUGCGCAGAUAUCAGGAGGAACACCGGUGGCGAAGGCGGAUCUCUGGGCCAUUACUGACGCUGAGGAGCGAAAGCGUGGGGAGCGAACAGGAUUAGAUACCCUGGUAGUCCACGCCGUAAACGGUGGGAACUAGGUGUUGGCGACAUUCCACGUCGUCGGUGCCGCAGCUAACGCAUUAAGUUCCCCGCCUGGGGAGUACGGCCGCAAGGCUAAAACUCAAAGGAAUUGACGGGG